GGGGCGUCCCGGGGCCGCCGGCGGAGCGUCGCCGGGAGCCCUGGCCCCCACCCGGGGCCGCGUCGCUGCGGCGGGAGCCUCCUUUUCGGGGCCCCUCGUCAAUAAAGAGGGGUGUUUUUGUACGCCGUGUCCCCUGUGUGGCUGCGCUGGGGACGGAGGGGACGGCGCUGGGAGCUUGGGGACAGCAUGGGGACAACCGCGGGGCGAGGGGCAGCGGAUGGGUUUGAGGGACGGGACAGGGAUGGAGGGGACGGGGUUGGGGGAUGAGGAGGUGAGUGGUGGUGCACGGGAUGCCUGGGGACAGGGCAAGGACAGAGGGGACAGGAUGGGGCUCGGGGACUGGGUGAGGAUGGAGGUGAUGGGAACAGGGAUGGAGCCAGGACAAGGACUGAGGGAACAGGGCUGGGGACAAGAUGAGAAUGGAGGGGACAGGGAUGGGGGACAGGAUGAGGAGGGAGGUGCCAAAGCUGGGGAUGGUGCUGAGGGACAAGGCAGGAUGGGGACAGAGAGGACAGGGCAGCGAUGGAGGGGACAGGGCUGGGGGAGGAGGAUGGCGGUGACGGGGAUGGGGACAGGACAGUGA
Molecule: long non-coding RNA, 583 nt
Filed under: Apteryx haastii (Great spotted kiwi)
Lineage: Eukaryota; Metazoa; Chordata; Aves; Apterygiformes; Apterygidae
Description: lncRNA (ENSAHAG00000014723.1)
Source: RNAcentral